Molecule: ribosomal RNA, 438 nt
Filed under: Bacillus sp. UST050418-421
Lineage: Bacteria; Bacillati; Bacillota; Bacilli; Caryophanales; Bacillaceae
Description: bacterial SSU rRNA
Rfam family: Bacterial small subunit ribosomal RNA
Source: RNAcentral
UCGUUCGAAUAGGGCGGUACCUUGACGGUACCUAACCAGAAAGCCACGGCUAACUACGUGCCAGCAGCCGCGGUAAUACGUAGGUGGCAAGCGUUAUCCGGAAUUAUUGGGCGUAAAGCGCGCGCAGGCGGUCCUUUAAGUCUGAUGUGAAAGCCCACGGCUCAACCGUGGAGGGUCAUUGGAAACUGGGGGACUUGAGUGCAGAAGAGGAGAGCGGAAUUCCACGUGUANCGGUGAAAUGCGUAAGAUGUGGAGGAACACCAGUGGCGAAGGCGGCAUCUCUGGUCUGUAACUGACGCUGAGGCGCGAAAGCGUGGGGAGCGAACAGGAUUAGAUACCCUGGUAGUCCACGCCGUAAACGAUGAGUGCUAAGUGUUAGAGGGUUUACCGCCCUUUAGUGCUGCAGCAAACGCAUUAACGCACUCCGCCUGGGGAGUA